AGAAGAUCCUGGGCAGGGCCGAUGAAAUACUGGAGGAAGAAGAAAACGUUCUGGCUCAGGAGGCUGUGCUGGAGACCCUGCUGAGGUCCGAGGACAGGCACUGGCCACUGUGGGACAGCGAGGACCAGCUCAGUGUGCUGUCAUCCAGCGAGUUGACUGAAGCUGGUGUUCUCGGCCUCGGGGACUCCCUGGACCCUGCUGAAUCUGAC
This is a long non-coding RNA of Seriola dumerili (greater amberjack), 209 nucleotides long. RefSeq lists it as uncharacterized. The transcript is spliced from 3 exons. NCBI's taxonomy places the organism in Eukaryota, Metazoa, Chordata, Actinopteri, Carangiformes, Carangidae. The record is from RefSeq and is a predicted model, not a curated record.